RNAcentral lists this unclassified non-coding RNA (184 nucleotides) under plant metagenome. RNAcentral describes it as "partial contains small subunit ribosomal RNA and internal transcribed spacer 1". The stretch from base 1 to 46 matches the Rfam family "Eukaryotic small subunit ribosomal RNA", at positions 1786 to 1831 of the family's 1831-position model. The record is from RNAcentral.
AAGUCGUAACAAGGUCUCCGUUGGUGAACCAGCGGAGGGAUCAUUACCGAGUUAUGAACUCCAAACCCUUGUGAACAUUGCACUGUUGCUUCGGCAGGCGGGCCCAGGGCGGGUCUCCGUCAUGCCUGCCGAAAGACCAAACUCUUCUAUCCUGCCCUCUGAAGAAAAAGACAAAUAGUUAAAA